GAUCAAGCUACAAAGGGCGCACGGUGAAUGCCCUGGCACUAGGAGCCGAUGAAGGACGUGAUAAGCUGCGAUAAGCUACAUGUAGGCGCAUAUAGCCUGUGAUAUGUAGAUUUCCGAAUGGGGAAACCCAUCUAGUUAUGCUAGAUACUGUAUACUGAAUUCAUAGGUAUAUGGAGGUACACCUGGGGAACUGAAACAUCUAAGUACCCAGAGGAAGAGAAAGAAAAUUCGAUUCCCUAAGUAGCGGCGAGCGAAAGGGGAAGAGCCCAAACCAGGAACUUGUUCCUGGGGUUGCGGAUAGAUCAUAACGCUUUGAUUUCUUUAGUUGAAGAGAACUGGAAAGUUCCGUCGUAGAAGGUAAUAACCCUGUAGGCGAAAAGGAAAGAAAAGUAGAUCUACUCCAGAGUACCACGAGACACGUGAAACCUUGUGGGAAG
RNAcentral lists this ribosomal RNA (437 nucleotides) under Clostridium haemolyticum. Its description in RNAcentral is "bacterial LSU rRNA". It matches the Rfam family "Bacterial large subunit ribosomal RNA", at positions 1 to 443 of the family's 2925-position model. The record is from RNAcentral. Lineage: Bacteria; Bacillati; Bacillota; Clostridia; Eubacteriales; Clostridiaceae.